This 1116-nucleotide ribosomal RNA is filed under the name Peratogonus sp. MF223. RNAcentral's name for it is "SSU rRNA". It matches the Rfam family "Eukaryotic small subunit ribosomal RNA", at positions 51 to 1091 of the family's 1831-position model. Lineage: Eukaryota; Metazoa; Arthropoda; Insecta; Coleoptera; Hydrophilidae. The record is from RNAcentral.
AUGCAUGUCUCAGUACAAGCCAAAUUAAGGUGAAACCGCGAAAGGCUCAUUAAAUCAGUUAUGGUUCCUUAGAUCGUACCCACAUUUACUUGGAUAACUGUGGUAAUUCUAGAGCUAAUACAUGCAAACAGAGGUCCGACCGGAGACGGAAGGUCCGCUUUUAUUAGAUCAAAACCAAUCGGCUUCGGGUUCGCUCGUUGUCGUACAUCUUGGUGACUCUGAAUAACUUUUUGCUGAUCGCACGGUCUUGCACCGGCGACGCAUCUUUCAAAUGUCUGCCUUAUCAACUGUCGAUGGUAGGUUCUGCGCCUACCAUGGUUGUAACGGGUAACGGGGAAUCAGGGUUCGAUUCCGGAGAGGGAGCCUGAGAAACGGCUACCACAUCCAAGGAAGGCAGCAGGCGCGCAAAUUACCCACUCCCGGCACGGGGAGGUAGUGACGAAAAAUAACGAUACGGGACUCAUCCGAGGCCCCGUAAUCGGAAUGAGUACACUCUAAACCCUUUAACGAGGAUCAAUUGGAGGGCAAGUCUGGUGCCAGCAGCCGCGGUAAUUCCAGCUCCAAUAGCGUAUAUUAAAGUUGUUGCGGUUAAAAAGCUCGUAGUCGAAUCUGUGUCUCGUGCCGCCGGUUCAUCGCUCGCGGUGUUUAACUGGCGUGUCGCGGGACGUCCUGCCGGUGGGCUUAGCUCUCGGUCCUCCGGGCCGGAGGGCGGCCCAACUUCACAAUCCCACCGCGGUGCUCUUCGCUGAGUGUCGAGGUGGGCCGGCACGUUUACUUUGAACAAAUUAGAGUGCUUAAAGCAGGCUAAAACUUCGCCUGAAUAUUCUGUGCAUGGAAUAAUGGAAUAGGACCUCGGUUCUAUUUUGUUGGUUUUCGGAACCCCGAGGUAAUGAUUAAUAGGAACGGAUGGGGGCAUUCGUAUUGCGACGUUAGAGGUGAAAUUCUUGGAUCGUCGCAAGACGGACGGAAGCGAAAGCAUUUGCCAAAAACGUUUUCAUUGAUCAAGAACGAAAGUUAGAGGUUCGAAGGCGAUCAGAUACCGCCCUAGUUCUAACCAUAAACGAUGCCAGCUAGCGAUCCGCCGACGUUCCUCCGAUGACUCGGCGGGCAGCUCCG